This 427-nucleotide ribosomal RNA is filed under the name uncultured bacterium. RNAcentral describes it as "partial 16S ribosomal RNA". It matches the Rfam family "Bacterial small subunit ribosomal RNA", at positions 355 to 774 of the family's 1533-position model. The record is from RNAcentral.
UGGGGAAUAUUGGACAAUGGGCGCAAGCCUGAUCCAGCCAUGCCGCGUGUGUGAAGAAGGUCUUCGGAUUGUAAAGCACUUUAAGUUGGGAGGAAGGGCAUUAACCUAAUACGUUAGUGUUUUGACGUUACCGACAGAAUAAGCACCGGCUAACUCUGUGCCAGCAGCCGCGGUAAUAAAGAGGGUGCAAGCGUUAAUCGGAAUUACUGGGCGUAAAGCGCGCGUAGGUGGUUUGUUAAGUUGGAUGUGAAAUCCCCGGGCUCAACCUGGGAACUGCAUUCAAAACUGACUGACUAGAGUAUGGUAGAGGGUGGUGGAAUUUCCUGUGUAGCGGUGAAAUGCGUAGAUAUAGGAAGGAACACCAGUGGCGAAGGCGACCACCUGGACUAAUACUGACACUGAGGUGCGAAAGCGUGGGGAGCAAACA